This 165-nucleotide ribosomal RNA is filed under the name Pyrenula infraleucotrypa. RNAcentral's name for it is "5.8S ribosomal RNA". It matches the Rfam family "5.8S ribosomal RNA". From Rfam's summary of the family: 5.8S ribosomal RNA (5.8S rRNA) is a component of the large subunit of the eukaryotic ribosome. It is transcribed by RNA polymerase I as part of the 45S precursor that also contains 18S and 28S rRNA. The record is from RNAcentral. Lineage: Eukaryota; Fungi; Ascomycota; Eurotiomycetes; Pyrenulales; Pyrenulaceae.
AAACUUUCAACAACGGAUCUCUUGGUUCUGGCAUCGAUGAAGAACGCAGCGAAAUGCGAUACGUCAUGCGAAUUGCAGAAGGACGCGAAUCAUCGAAUUUUUGAACGCACAUUGCGCCCUUUGGUGCCUACAAUUCCAAAGAGCAUGCCAGUUCGAGCGUCAGUA